GACGAACGCUGGCGGCGUGCCUAAUACAUGCAAGUCGAGCGGACCAAAGGGAGCUUGCUCCUGGAGGUCAGCGGCGAACGGGUGAGUAACACGUGGGCAACCUGCCUGUAAGACUGGGAUAACAUCGAGAAAUCGGUGCUAAUACCGGAUAAUAAAAAGAACUGCAUGGUUCUUUUUGAAAGAUGGUUUCGGCUAUCACUUACAGAUGGGCCCGCGCGCAUUAGCUAGUUGGUGAGGUAACGGCUCACCAAGGCAACGAUGCGUAGCCGACCUGAGAGGGUGAUCGGCCACACUGGGACUGAGACACGGCCCAGACUCCUACGGGAGGCAGCAGUAGGGAAUCUUCCGCAAUGGACGAAAGUCUGACGGAGCAACGCCGCGUGAGUGAUGAAGGUUUUCGGAUCGUAAAACUCUGUUGUUAGGGAAGAACAAGUGCCGUUCGAAAGGGCGGCACCUUGACGGUACCUAACGAGAAAGCCACGGCUAACUACGUGCCAGCAGCCGUACGG
RNAcentral lists this ribosomal RNA (509 nucleotides) under uncultured bacterium. RNAcentral describes it as "bacterial SSU rRNA". It matches the Rfam family "Bacterial small subunit ribosomal RNA", at positions 28 to 520 of the family's 1533-position model. The record is from RNAcentral.